GCCGGUGUAGCCCAACGGCAGAGGCAUCACGUUUAGGGCGUGAUCAGUGCGGGUUCGAAUCCCGCCGCCGGCA
This 73-nucleotide transfer RNA is filed under the name Acidimicrobiia bacterium. Its description in RNAcentral is "tRNA-Leu". It matches the Rfam family "tRNA". From Rfam's summary of the family: Transfer RNA (tRNA) molecules are approximately 80 nucleotides in length. Lineage: Bacteria; Bacillati; Actinomycetota; Acidimicrobiia. The record is from RNAcentral.